AACGAACGCUGGCGGCAGGCUUAACACAUGCAAGUCGAGCGGGCGUAGCAAUACGUCAGCGGCAGACGGGUGAGUAACACGUGGGAACGUACCUUUUGGUCGGAACAACACAGGGAAACUUGUGCUAAUACCGGAUAAGCCCUUACGGGGAAAGAUUAUCGCCAAAAGAUCGGCCCGCGUCUGAUUAGCUUGUUGGGUGAGGUAACGGCUCACCAAGGCGACGAUCAGUAGCUGGUCNGAGAGGAUGAUCAGCCACACUGGGACUGAGACACGGCCCAGACUCCUACGGGAGGGCAGCAGUGGGGAAUAUUGGGACAAUGGGCGAAAGCCUGAUCCAGCCAUGCCGCGUGAGUG
Molecule: ribosomal RNA, 354 nt
Filed under: uncultured bacterium
Lineage: Bacteria
Description: bacterial SSU rRNA
Rfam family: Bacterial small subunit ribosomal RNA
Source: RNAcentral